RNAcentral lists this ribosomal RNA (440 nucleotides) under uncultured bacterium. RNAcentral describes it as "partial 16S ribosomal RNA". It matches the Rfam family "Bacterial small subunit ribosomal RNA", at positions 338 to 795 of the family's 1533-position model. The record is from RNAcentral.
CCUACGGGUGGCAGCAGUAGGGAAUAUUGCUCAAUGGGGGAAACCCUGAAGCAGCAACGCCGCGUGGAGGAUGAAGGUUUUCGGAUUGUAAACUCCUUUUGUUAGAGACGAUAAUGACGGUAUCUAACGAAUAAGCACCGGCUAACUCCGUGCCAGCAGCCGCGGUAAUACGGAGGGUGCAAGCGUUACUCGGAAUCCCGGGGCGUAAAGAGCGCGUAGGCGGGAUAGCAAGUCAGAUGUGAAAUCCUAGGGCUUAACCAUAGAACUGCAUUUGAAACUGUUAUUCUAGAGUAUGGGAGAGGUAGGUGGAAUUCUGGGUGUAGGGGUAAAAUCCGUAGAGAUCAAGAGGAAUACUCAUUGCGAAGGCGACCUGCUAGAACAUAACUGACGCUGAUGCGCGAAAGCGUGGGGAGCAAACAGGAUUAGAUACCCCGGUAGUC